GACGAACGCUGGCGGCGUGCCUAAUACAUGCAAGUUGAGCGAUGAAGAUUGGUGCUUGCACCAAUUUGAAGAGCAGCGAACGGGUGAGUAACGCGUGGGGAAUCUGCCUUUGAGCGGGGGACAACAUUUGGAAACGAAUGCUAAUACCGCAUAAUAACUUUAAACAUAAGUUUUAAGUUUGAAAGAUGCAAUUGCAUCACUCAAAGAUGAUCCCGCGUUGUAUUAGCUAGUUGGUGAGGUAAAGGCUCACCAAGGCGAUGAUACAUAGCCGACCUGAGAGGGUGAUCGGCCACAUUGGGACUGAGACACGGCCCAAACUCCUACGGGAGGCAGCAGUAGGGAAUCUUCGACAAUGGACGAAAGUCUGACCGAGCAACGCCGCGUGAGUGAAGAAGGUUUUCGGAUCGUAAAACUCUGUUGGUAGAGAAGAACGUUGGUGAGAGUGGAAAGCUCAUCAAGUGACGGUAACUACCCAGAAAGGGACGGCUAACUACGUG
RNAcentral lists this ribosomal RNA (497 nucleotides) under uncultured bacterium. RNAcentral's name for it is "partial 16S ribosomal RNA". It matches the Rfam family "Bacterial small subunit ribosomal RNA", at positions 28 to 507 of the family's 1533-position model. The record is from RNAcentral.